RNAcentral lists this ribosomal RNA (908 nucleotides) under uncultured Mycoplasma sp. RNAcentral describes it as "bacterial SSU rRNA". It matches the Rfam family "Bacterial small subunit ribosomal RNA", at positions 85 to 988 of the family's 1533-position model. The record is from RNAcentral. Lineage: Bacteria; Bacillati; Mycoplasmatota; Mollicutes; Mycoplasmatales; Mycoplasmataceae.
UCGGAACCUAGCGGCGAAUGGGUGAGUAACACGUACUUAAUCUGCCCUUUAGAUUGGAAUACCCAAUGGAAACAUUGGCUAAUGCCGGAUAUGCAGAGAAUCGCAUGAUUCUUUUGUGAAAGGGGCCUUUAAAGCCCCGCUAAAGGAUGAGGGUGCGGAACAUUAGUUAGUUGGUAGGGUAAUGGCCUACCAAGACUAUGAUGUUUAGCCGGGUCGAGAGACUGAACGGCCACAUUGGGACUGAGAUACGGCCCAAACUCCUACGGGAGGCAGCAGUAGGGAAUAUUCCACAAUGAGCGAAAGCUUGAUGGAGCGACACAGCGUGCACGAUGAAGGUCUUCGGAUUGUAAAGUGCUGUUAUAGGGGAAGAACACUUUAAGAAGGAAAUGUCUUAAAGCUGACGGUACCCUGUCAGAAAGCGAUGGCUAACUAUGUGCCAGCAGCCGCGGUAAUACAUAGGUCGCAAGCGUUAUCCGGAAUUAUUGGGCGUAAAGCGUUCGUAGGCUGUUUGUUAAGUCUGGAGUCAAAUCCCGGGGCUCAACCCCGGUCCGCUUUGGAUACUGGCAAACUAGAGUUAGAUAGAGGUAAGCGGAAUUCCAUGUGAAGCGGUGAAAUGCGUAGAUAUAUGGAAGAACACCAAAGGCGAAGGCAGCUUACUGGGUCUACACUGACGCUGAGGGACGAAAGCGUGGGGAGCAAACAGGAUUAGAUACCCUGGUAGUCCACGCCGUAAACGAUGAUCAUUAGUCGGUGGAGAGUUCACUGACGCAGCUAACGCAUUAAAUGAUCCGCCUGAGUAGUAUGCUCGCAAGAGUGAAACUUAAAGGAAUUGACGGGGACCCGCACAAGCGGUGGAGCAUGUGGUUUAAUUUGAAGAUACACGGAGAACCUUACCCACUCUUGACAUC